GCGUUAAGUUGCAGGGUAUAGACCCGAAACCCGGUGAUCUAGCCAUGGGCAGGUUGAAGGUUGGGUAACACUAACUGGAGGACCGAACCGACUAAUGUUGAAAAAUUAGCGGAUGACCUGUGGCUGGGGGUGAAAGGCCAAUCAAACCGGGAGAUAGCUGGUUCUCCCCGAAAGCUAUUUAGGUAGCGCCUCGUGAAUUCAUCUCCGGGGGUAGAGCACUGUUUCGGCUAGGGGGCCAUCCCGGCUUACCAACCCGAUGCAAACUGCGAAUACCGGAGAAUGUUAUCACGGGAGACACACGGCGGGUGCUAACGUCCGUCGUGAAGAGGGAAACAACCCAGACCGCCAGCUAAGGUCCCAAAGUCAUGGUUAAGUGGGAAACGAUGUGGGAAGGCCCAGACAGCCAGGAUGUUGGCUUAGAAGCAGCCAUCAUUUAAAGAAAGCGUAAUAGCUCACUGGUCGAGUCGGCCUGCGCGGAAGAUGUAACGGGGCUAAACCAUGCACCGAAGCUGCGGCAGCGACACUGUGUGUUGUUGGGUAGGGGAGCGU
Molecule: ribosomal RNA, 549 nt
Filed under: Salmonella enterica subsp. enterica serovar Enteritidis
Lineage: Bacteria; Pseudomonadati; Pseudomonadota; Gammaproteobacteria; Enterobacterales; Enterobacteriaceae
Description: partial 23S ribosomal RNA
Rfam family: Bacterial large subunit ribosomal RNA
Source: RNAcentral